UGGGAACUCUAGGGAGACUGCCGGUGACAAACCGGAGGAAGGUGGGGAGGACGUCAGGUCAUCAUGGCCCUUACGGGCAGGGCUACACACGUGCUACAAUGGCGCGUACAGAGGGCUGCGAACCUGCGAGGGGGAGCCAAUCUCACAAAACGCGUCGUAGUCCGGAUUGGAGUCUGCAACUCGACUCCGUGAAGUCGGAAUCGCUAGUAAUCGUGAAUCAGAAUGUCACGGUGAAUACGUUCCCGGGCCUUGUACACACCGCCCGUCACACCAUGGGAGUGGGUUGCACCAGAAG
Molecule: ribosomal RNA, 295 nt
Filed under: Marinobacter confluentis
Lineage: Bacteria; Pseudomonadati; Pseudomonadota; Gammaproteobacteria; Pseudomonadales; Marinobacteraceae
Description: partial 16S ribosomal RNA
Rfam family: Bacterial small subunit ribosomal RNA
Source: RNAcentral